This 581-nucleotide ribosomal RNA is filed under the name Trichoderma sp. 2SW-1. RNAcentral's name for it is "eukaryotic LSU rRNA". The stretch from base 216 to 369 matches the Rfam family "5.8S ribosomal RNA". Lineage: Eukaryota; Fungi; Ascomycota; Sordariomycetes; Hypocreales; Hypocreaceae. The record is from RNAcentral.
AGGGAUCAUUACCGAGUUUACAACUCCCCAAACCCAAUGUGAACGUUACCAAACUGUUGCCUCGGCGGGAUCUCUGCCCCGGGUGCGUCGCAGCCCCGGACCAAGGCGCCCGCCGGAGGACCAACCAAAACUCUUAUUGUAUACCCCCUCGCGGGUUUUUUUUUAUAAUCUGAGCCUUCUCGGCGCCUCUCGUAGGCGUUUCGAAAAUGAAUCAAAACUUUCAACAACGGAUCUCUUGGUUCUGGCAUCGAUGAAGAACGCAGCGAAAUGCGAUAAGUAAUGUGAAUUGCAGAAUUCAGUGAAUCAUCGAAUCUUUGAACGCACAUUGCGCCCGCCAGUAUUCUGGCGGGCAUGCCUGUCCGAGCGUCAUUUCAACCCUCGAACCCCUCCGGGGGGUCGGCGUUGGGGAUCGGCCCUGCCUUGGCGGUGGCCGUCUCCGAAAUACAGUGGCGGUCUCGCCGCAGCCUCUCCUGCGCAGUAGUUUGCACACUCGCAUCGGGAGCGCGGCGCGUCCACAGCCGUUAAACACCCAACUUCUGAAAUGUUGACCUCGGAUCAGGUAGGAAUACCCGCUGAACUUA